Molecule: non-coding RNA, 212 nt
Organism: Pelobates cultripes (western spadefoot toad)
Lineage: Eukaryota; Metazoa; Chordata; Amphibia; Anura; Pelobatidae
Source: the annotation of a GenBank genome assembly
UGCAUACUUUUCAAGUUAUGAAUAAUGUGGAAAAUUUGUAUUUCUCUGCUGGUGCUAAAUUACAUUACCCAUUGUGUGAGGUAAUUGAAUCACCGGCAGAGGGGAGGAAUUUGUGUGGGAGUGUCUGAGUGUAUUGUAUGUGUUUAUUGGUUGUGUUCCAAGUACAUGUGUUCGGGCAUAUCAUUAAGGAGACAAGUCCCAUCAGGUUAGAG